GCAAACUUGGUCAUUUAGAGGAAGUAAAAGUCGUAACAAGGUUUCCGUAGGUGAACCUGCGGAAGGAUCAUUAACGUGCUACGGAGGUCUCUUCGAAGGGGGGGAUCUACGUCUGCCCACCCUUGAUUACCUGACCUGUUGCUUUGGCGGGCUUGCCGUGAGGCGGCCUGAAAAAAAAGUCCGCCAGAGUUUCAUUAAAUUCUGGAUAGAAAGGUUGUGCUGGUCUGAGCGUGCAAGCGCAAAAUCUAUACAAAACUUUCAACAACGGAUCUCUUGGUUCUGGCAUCGAUGAAGAACGCAGC
RNAcentral lists this unclassified non-coding RNA (302 nucleotides) under uncultured fungus. RNAcentral describes it as "partial contains small subunit ribosomal RNA, internal transcribed spacer 1, and 5.8S ribosomal RNA". The stretch from base 1 to 73 matches the Rfam family "Eukaryotic small subunit ribosomal RNA", at positions 1759 to 1831 of the family's 1831-position model. Lineage: Eukaryota; Fungi. The record is from RNAcentral.